Molecule: non-coding RNA, 194 nt
Organism: Pseudonaja textilis
Lineage: Eukaryota; Metazoa; Chordata; Lepidosauria; Squamata; Elapidae
Source: RefSeq, a predicted model, not a curated record
UUUGUAUGGAUAAAAUUUGUAUAAAAUUUCUUGGAUUUGGAUAUCUCUUGGGCAGAAUUUAGUGAGAUGACUCAGAUGACAAUUUGGAAGACUAUCUGGGGAUUAUUUUGAGUUUAUGGAGAAGGAGGAUGUAACCUAGGUUCUCUGUGGCAUACAGUAUAUCUUCGUGCCUGUAGAUAGGAUCCGUGCUUACC